GAAAAAAUUUUGCAUAUCAAUAAGCNGAGGAAAAGAAACCAACAGGGAUUGCCUCAGUAACGGCGAGUGAAGCGGCAAAAGCUCAAAUUUGAAAUCCCCCCGGGGAGUUGUAAUUUGAAGAUUGCGUCUUGGAGGCGACCGUGUCUAUGUUCCUUGGAACAGGACGUCACAGAGGGUGAGAAUCCCGUGCGGCACGGCCCCCGGCUCCUUAUAAGGCGCUCUCGACGAGUCGAGUUGUUUGGGAAUGCAGCUCAAAGUGGGUGGUAAAUUCCAUCUAAAGCUAAAUACAGGCGAGAGACCGAUAGCGAACAAGUACAGUGAUGGAAAGAUGAAAAGCACUUUGAAAAGAGAGUGAAACAGCACGUGAAAUUGUUGAAAGGGAAGGGCAUGCCGUCAGAUUGUCAGUGUGGGUAAGAAGCGGGGUACAAAGACUGUGGAACGUGGCCCUCGGGUGUUAUAGCCGCAGUUCAUGCCCCGUCUCUUUCCGAGGCCUGCUUUGAGGACACCGACGUAAUGACGGUACGCCGCCCGUCUUGAAACACGGACCAAAGCGGAAAGAAA
This 561-nucleotide ribosomal RNA is filed under the name Kodamaea ohmeri. RNAcentral describes it as "partial large subunit ribosomal RNA". It matches the Rfam family "Eukaryotic large subunit ribosomal RNA", at positions 30 to 681 of the family's 3401-position model. Lineage: Eukaryota; Fungi; Ascomycota; Pichiomycetes; Serinales; Debaryomycetaceae. The record is from RNAcentral.